AGUGGCGGACGGGUGAGUAACGCGUGGGCAACCUACCCCACACAGGGGGACAACAGUUGGAAACGACUGCUAAUACCGCAUAGGCGCACAGCUUCGCAUGAAGCAGUGUGGAAAACCGAGGUGGUGUGGGAUGGGCCCGCGUCUGAUUAGCUAGUUGGCGGGGUAACGGCCCACCAAGGCGACGAUCAGUAGCCGGCCUGAGAGGGUGGACGGCCACAUUGGGACUGAGACACGGCCCAAACUCCUACGGAAGGCAGCAG
Molecule: ribosomal RNA, 260 nt
Filed under: uncultured bacterium
Lineage: Bacteria
Description: partial 16S ribosomal RNA
Rfam family: Bacterial small subunit ribosomal RNA
Source: RNAcentral